UUAACUAUUUGCUUUUUACUUCAGGCUGCAUCGUUGUUCAGGGUUUAGAGUUUGGCAGGAGCCCCGUUUAAGGGGACUCCCUUCGCGCCAAAGGUGAGGCGAUAGACGGAGGGUUGGUGUCGGGCGCCAAAGCGCCCUGUGACCCAGUAAUGAUCCUUCCGCAGGUUCACCUACGGAAA
This 179-nucleotide unclassified non-coding RNA is filed under the name uncultured fungus. Its description in RNAcentral is "sequence contains ITS1". The record is from RNAcentral. Lineage: Eukaryota; Fungi.